GAUGGACGCUGACAGAAUGCUUAACACAUGCCAGUCAACUUGAACUUCGGUUUGGGUGGCGGACGGGUGAGUACGCGUAAAGAACUUGCCUCACAGCUAGGGACAACAUUUGGAAACGAAUGCUAAUACCUGAUAUUAUGAUUAUAUGGCAUCGUAUAAUUAUGAAAGCUAUUUGCGCUGUGAGAGAGCUUUGCGUCCCAUUAGCUAGUUGGAGAGGUAACAGCUCACCAAGGCGAUGAUGGGUAGCCGGCCUGAGAGGGUGAUCGGCCACAAGGGGACUGAGACACGGCCCUUACUCCUACGGGAGGCAGCAGUGGGGAAUAUUGGACAAUGGACCGAGAGUCUGAUCCAGCAAUUCUGUGUGCACGAUGAAGUUUUUCGGAAUGUAAAGUGCUUUCAGUUGGGAAGAAAAAAAUGACGGUACCAACAGAAGAAGUGACGGCUAAAUACGUG
This 453-nucleotide ribosomal RNA is filed under the name uncultured bacterium. RNAcentral describes it as "partial 16S ribosomal RNA". It matches the Rfam family "Bacterial small subunit ribosomal RNA", at positions 28 to 507 of the family's 1533-position model. The record is from RNAcentral.